CCCGUGGGGCUGCUGUUAUUCU
Molecule: microRNA, 22 nt
Filed under: Alligator mississippiensis (American alligator)
Lineage: Eukaryota; Metazoa; Chordata; Crocodylia; Alligatoridae
Description: ami-miR-194-2-3p
Gene: ami-miR-194-2-3p
Source: miRBase by way of RNAcentral